GCCCAGGUGGCGGAAUUGGUAGACGCGUUGGUCUCAAACACCAAUGAUUUCAGGAUCGUGCCGGUUCGACCCCGGCCCUGGGUACAA
This 87-nucleotide transfer RNA is filed under the name Roseivirga ehrenbergii. RNAcentral's name for it is "tRNA-Leu". It matches the Rfam family "tRNA". Rfam says of the family: Transfer RNA (tRNA) molecules are approximately 80 nucleotides in length. Their secondary structure includes four short double-helical elements and three loops (D, anti-codon, and T loops). Lineage: Bacteria; Pseudomonadati; Bacteroidota; Cytophagia; Cytophagales; Roseivirgaceae. The record is from RNAcentral.